This 6326-nucleotide long non-coding RNA is filed under the name Triticum aestivum (bread wheat). Its description in RNAcentral is "long non-coding RNA (TAES_LNC003349)". The stretch from base 4992 to 5126 matches the Rfam family "MIR1120/MIR1122 microRNA precursor family". The record is from RNAcentral. Lineage: Eukaryota; Viridiplantae; Streptophyta; Magnoliopsida; Poales; Poaceae.
CCGCGGUGGCCUCGCCCUCUACCUCUUCACCGUCUUCGUACGGGUCCCUGCGCAGGUGAUUAGUCGCUCUGUCUCGUCCUUUCAUCUCUCUCUCUCUCUCUCUAUAUAUAUAUAUAUAUAUAUAUAUAUAUUAAUAUACUUGAGACUUGAGAGGAACACUUACCUAUUCUUUUCAAGAGAGGAGCCGUCACAAUCUGACCAGUACUCCUACCUAUUUGAGGGCCAUAUGAUCUUAUAAUAUACUAGUAUCUCAUAACCAAUCCAUGAGGUAUUUUCGUUGCUACUCUAUGCUACCAUCGACAUGCAUUUCUUCGAUAUUGGACAACUUUGUUACAACGGGCAGCUAUAGCAAGUGGUGCCAAAAUGCCAAAAUCUGAACAUGACACUAGUAUUUGACCACAUUAUGGAUGCCCUAAGCUAAUACGUAGUACUAUAUUUUUCGCUUUUAUGUUAUGGGCACACGUGGAUACAUAUAAUAUUAAAGAACAGAAAAGCUUUUUUUUUUUGAGAAUUUUUCAUUCAUAUCACGAAUCAGUACAAAGUAGUUUGACCCUUACAAACACACUGAAAUGCAAACACAAAGGACCAUGAACACCUAGAGUAUCUUAAGACAACCAUAACACAAGAUCUCCGGAGCCUAGUGUCAUCAUCCCUGAAUCUUGAGAGAAGACCCCUGCACCAAAAGGAUCUGCAACCAGUCGCAAACAGGUCAUCAUCUUCGACCAUGGUACAAUUGCCGCCACGCUGCUUCCUCCUUUCUUGACACCAACGCUGAGGGGGCAUGGGCAUCAAUCCAACACACCUGCAACAGCCGUCGCCAUCUUUGGCUUUGAGUACUGCAAAAAGUGUCCCUUCCGAAAGGAAGAGAACUCGAGUCAUCCGACCGGUCUAGCACCGCGGCCGGGCUAUCCGCCCGGGCAAAGCAGGAUCUCCCACCAGCAUCAGCGCAGAGGAAGAAGAAGAACAGCAGUAGCAAAUCAUACCAACAAGGAAGAAGAAAGGUCUUCGUCUCGCUGCAUCCAUCGCCCAUCUGAGGACCCAAACGGCCAGUGCCGAUGGACCUCCAGCCACCAUAGCCCGCGACCUCGACGAGAUCCGGGGAUCCCCAACCCCGCUGGCUCCUAGACACAGGCAAAAGCCUCGCCUGACCGCGAACGGAGCCCGGAGAAACUUAUUCCGACGCGACACCACCGCAACAGCCUCGGCAGCGUCUCCCUCAACCCUAACCCUACCACACACCCACCUAGCGAACAGACCCGAGGUUCCCCUCCCUCCCGCCGCCGGAGCGGCCGACGGAGAGAGAGGGAACCGACGGCGUCACCGGCGGCGCGCAAGGGAAACCUGGUCGCCUCCUUGAUCGCCUCGUGCGAUCCUAUAAUCGUGGGUCCCUUUCUGGCAACUGUGUUAAGUUUUUACUAAAGGAUAAAGAACAGAAAGGCUUUGUAGGUAAUUGUGUGGGCAAAAUCUGUGGGCAUGUGGCAUAAUGCAGUACUAUUAAUCUGUGGUCAAUUUUGUCACUUCAGAUGUGAUAUAGAUUGAUAGCGUAACAUAACAUCUGUGUUGGCAUUGGCAUGUAGAUGAUUUCUAGAGAUUCUACAAGAGACAGCAUAUAUCAUGUGUUACGAAACUUUCUGUUUUUGUUCAAAUGAUGAAAUCGGUGGGAAGGGAGAGAUGAACCAUCAGAUCUAUUUAAUUCAUGUUGAACAAUAGAUGUUUCAUACUCUCUCUGUUGCAAGAAAGAUGUUUCAUGCUUUUAUUUGAUCCGCAAACCGUAGAACAAUAGUUCUACGGUAUAUUUUUCAUAUAUUAUCUAUAGUAUGUUACAAGGGGAAAGGACAAAAAAGAAAGGCCUGAGAGGCCAAAACAGAGUUAGGGGCUAGCCAAUGCCUGCUCUUGGAAAAAAAAACAUGAUUUACAGGUUGCUAUCUAUCCACCAGUGAAAGGCAUGAACAUGCUUCUCUUUUAUUUUGAAUUGCAACAACUUGAGAUCUUGCUUGAUGUAAUAUCUCCAGGCCUGAAGAUAUUUUUGGAGAUGUUUCAUACUUUUGGAGGGGAAAGAUACUUCUUUCCUUUUUUGAAAAAUGAUCAUUUUUCUCUUUGGCUGAUCUGCCUGUUUCGUGUAGCCAUGUUGAUUUAUGGAUCUGCACGUCUGUCUAACAUUUGACGUUGUUUGGUUAUCAGGUGAUUGGGGCGGUUAUUGGAGUGAUGCUCAUGCGAUUCGCAUUCCCUAAAGUAGGUAAAGGAGCUGCGUUAAGUGUCGGUGUUCAUCAUGGGGCUUUAACUGAAGGACUGGCAACCUUAAUGGUCGUGAUGGUGUCAUUGACACUUAAAAAGAAAGAACAGGGGUUCUUUGUGAAGACAUGGAUUGCCAGCAUUUGGAAAAUGACGAUUCAUAUCCUUAGCUCAGAUAUGACUGGAGGAAUUAUGAACCCUGCAUCUGUAAGUGUUAUCUACACCUAAUGUCAUGAGACUGUUGUAGAAAUUAACCUCUUGAACUUGAACUACAACACAUGUGCAUAACUUCGAAUCUAAUACAAAUCAUCGAAAUAGUAUGCAUACACAUAUAUGGCAGCACUAAUUUUGUUCUGGUUGCCAGUACAUUUCUGCUAGCCAGCACUCCAUAAUAUUAUGUUCCGCUGCAAUGUGUGGUGAUCAGUUGAUAUGUGAAAUGUUCAUAUCAUCCAAGUGUGCCAUGGUGAUAUCAAACUUUGGCCAUAAAAUCAAACAGUUUGUAAGUUGUCUAAAUGGUUUUACAUGCAUACAUUUUUCUUGUCAUCUCAAAGAUGUUGCAUUGAUGCUUUCAAAUACUUCAAAAAGGUCAUGGUAUAUCACACCAACUAACAGUUUGACAGAUGUCCACUGCUAGCAAAUACUCCGUCCGUUCCAGAAUAUAAGGUGUAUUGAUUUCCGUGCAAGUCAACCAUUUGAAUAUUUGACCAAAAUAACAAUAUCCGCAAUUCCUAAUAGAUAAAAUAUGAAACUACUCCCUCCGUCCCAUAAUAUAAGAACUGUUUCAGUUUGAAAAACGUUCUUAUAUUAUGGGACGGAGGGAGUACUUUUUAUGAUGGAUCAAGUGAUAUAUAUUUCGUAUUGUGAAUGUUGACAUAUUUUUCUUAAAAUACAGUCAAACUUGCACUCAUUUGACUUUUGAAAAAACAAAUACACCUUAUAUAAAGGAACGGAGGGAGUAGCUAUCGAACUUAGUGAUAAACCAUGAAUGCGUUUUUACUCACAGUAGAGUAACACCUGACAUGCAUUUUUAGCUUGCUACAUCUAAUUCUUGUGAUUGAACUUCAGUUAUCUAAUGAUUCACUUGUGUUAUAUUCUGCAGGCCUUUGCUUGGGCCUAUGCUCGUGGAGAUCACACAUCAUUUGACCACCUACUGGUAUAUUGGCUCGCACCCCUCCAAGCAACCCUUGUAGGAGUAUGGGUGGUUACCUUCUUAACUAAACCCAAGAAUACCAAGGAGCAAGCAGCAGAUAAAAACAAGAACAAAAAGGAAUAAACUUCAGGAAGUGAGCCAUCGCCUGGUUGGGGAGUGGAUGUACAUACAGUACCAGCGCCUGGGUUGAAGUCCCCAUGGGCUUGAAUUUAGGUUCUAUUUGGCUUUCCUUCAAGUAUUCCUUCAAAGAAAGAAGGAUCAUUGUUAUUGUGGGAGUGGUGUCCACCAUUUUUUCUGGAGCAAGAACUCCAGAUCAUAUUAUUAUCAUUAAUUAUUCUAAAAUGUUCAUCGCCUUACCUCCGUCCCAAAUUACUUGACUUUUUAGUGUUGGAUACAUCCGUAUCUAGACAAAUCUAAGACGAGUAAUUUGAGACGGAGGGAGUAGUAUUUUUUUUAUGUGUGCUAAAAUGUUCCAGGCAUAUUUUGGGAAACAGUAGGGAGGAGAUGAUACAACUCAAUCGCGAUCAAGACUGUUGAACUCAUCACCUGUCUCGCACAGACUGACAAUUGACAUUUUGUUUUCCUGCAAUUUAUCAGUGUGUCCUGCAAGUCUCAUUCUACAUAGCGAGACUGGAAAUGCAGUGUGGUCUAGGUCCUCUAGUUCCUAGAAAACCAAUCAGUUUAGGAUAUCGUUGGCAAUAUACCAUAAGUUAAUACUCCUACAUGAGUGGUGAAUGCACACGAAUAACAAAACAUUCAGCACAUAUGAUGGAGCUAACAGCCUAACAAUGACAGCUGUUUCAACACCUAUACAGCUAUAAAACUGCUACUCCCUCAAUUCACUUUUGUAAGUCAUUCAGACAGCUAAAAAUGGGCUGUUUUGUACAUUAUCUGAAUUGUCUUCAAAGUCUUAUAAAAGUGAAUGGAGGGAGUAGUUUUCUUUAAAUUGCAUCGGUUGGUUAUCAGCAGAAACUCUCAAAAUUAAAACUGAUGGAUGUCAGUAUAGAAAAUCUGGUUGGGCCAGUGAUGAUGUUGGCAACUGACUACCUUUUGUAGUAUUGUCGCUGCAGUUCAGCCAUCCUGCUAUCAAACAAUUACUAACCUGAAAAUUCGACCAUGUUCUCCUUUUUCAGUCUAAUAAUUAUUAAGUGCCCACACACACAUCCAAUUCUGGAAGAUUCGUUUGAAGUAUUUCAUGUUAUAUCCCGUCUAUUCCCUCCGUCCCAACAUAAGUGUCUUAAGCUUAAUACAACGUACAAAGUUGAGGCACUUAUUUUGAGACAAAGGGAGUAUUACAUACUCCCCCCGUUCCAAAAUAGAUGAUCCAACUUUGUACAAAGUUACUACAAAGUUGAGUCGUCUAUUAUACUCCCUCCGUCCGGAAAUACUUGUUGGAGAAAUGGAUGAAAAUGGAUGUAUCUAAAACUAAAUUGCGUCUAGAUACAUUCAUUCCUCCGACAAGUAUUUUGGGACGGAGGGAGUAGAACGGAGGGAGUACUAAUUUAUGCAGUAGUACUCCUAUACCAUCCAAUUGGUUCAUUUGGGUUGAAUAAUCCAUAUCCAUAUGUAUUUAUACAACGGUUUUGCUAUAUGAUGUUCGUCUAAAAAUAUUGUACUCCCUCCGUUCUGAAUUAAUUGUCUUAGAUUUGUCUAGAUACGGAUGUAUCUAGACUCAUUUUAGUGCUAGAUACAUCCGUAUCUAGACAAAUCUAAGACAAGUAAUUCGGAACAGAGGGAGUACAUAUGAUUUUCUUCAUGCAGGGUUAAGAAAGAAAGAACUGGAAUUACUAGUUCCUGUAUUUAUUUGUGUUUCUUUAGUUAACCAGCUCCUUUGUGAAUUUGUACUUAGAACUUGGAGCUGGAGUUUAACGCCGGAAUAGCAGACAAGAAUUCCCCGCUCCAAAUGGGGCUGCAAGGGAAGGUGUAAUGGACCCGUUCUUGUGGUCCAGGUCCAUGUGCUAUGUUUUCUGUCUGUGUACAGGGAGGGCAUGCGGCCCCUUCAAAGGUGUUUAACGUCAUUCUCCUUGCUGCUGGUGGCCCAAUGCAGACCCACUACGUUCGUGCUAUUAAUUUGUUCUCACAUUGCUUUUCGUUUGUACUUUUUCUUUUCUUUUCUGGUGUGAGAUUACUAUCAAGCGGUUCCAAUAAUACAACAAAUAGAAACAUAACUUGUGCACAAAUAGAAAAAUGGGAGAAGGCGCAGCUUGGUAUCAUCCUGACAUGAUCAUUAUCGUUAUUAUUAUCAUUUUACAAAAAAAAGGCAUGAUUGUUAUCUUGCACAUGCAUCUACUUGUUAUUGCCGCUGCACUUUUAUCAUCGACGCUAUUGAGUCUCCAGAUCAUGGAUCGGAUCUGUCUAUGCUGACGAAUAUGCUUUGGAUGCGACCGAGACAUGUUGCUUGACAGUUGGGGAUGACGAAGGUGCAAUUUUAAGAUGUAGUAGAAUUUGUAGAACCCAUUUUGACCGAGAUUCAUAGCAUCAUUCAAGUAAAUACAAAUUAGGAUCGUCCUCUAAUGAUUCCUCGCAAAGAAAAAACAAAGAAUCCUUAAAUGAUCGAGAAAGAAAUGGAACGUUGGAUUGUGUCAAAACGCUCGCACAUGUUUGUCCGAUCGCUGAAGCAGCUCGAACCUCCAAUUCACGGCUCGUAUAUCAUGGUCCUGAUUGGAAAUAAAAGCUGGAGUACGAUGUAUAGUGCUCCCUCCAUUCCAUAAUGUAGUGUGUCCAUGUUUCCCGAGAUUCAAGUUUAACCGUAAACUUAAUCAACAAGACCAAUUGCGACGGGAGCAAAAAUUAUAUCACUAAAUUCAUAUUGAAAAUAAGAAAUCAGUGAUAUAAUUUUGCUCCGCUGCAGUCGGUCUCAGUAGUUAAAUUUACGGUCAAAUUUGAAUCUCAGAAAGCGCAAACGCACUACAUUGUAAAAACGGAGGGAGUACAUUUUUUUUCU